RNAcentral lists this ribosomal RNA (497 nucleotides) under uncultured bacterium. RNAcentral's name for it is "partial 16S ribosomal RNA". It matches the Rfam family "Bacterial small subunit ribosomal RNA", at positions 28 to 507 of the family's 1533-position model. The record is from RNAcentral.
GAUGAACGCUGGCGGCGUGCCUAAUACAUGCAAGUCGAGCGAACGGACGAGAAGCUUGCUUCUCUGAUGUUAGCGGCGGACGGGUGAGUAACACGUGGAUAACCUACCUAUAAGACUGGGAUAACUUCGGGAAACCGGAGCUAAUACCGGAUAAUAUUUUGAACCGCAUGGUUCAAAAGUGAAAGACGGUCUUGCUGUCACUUAUAGAUGGAUCCGCGCUGCAUUAGCUAGUUGGUAAGGUAACGGCUUACCAAGGCAACGAUGCAUAGCCGACCUGAGAGGGUGAUCGGCCACACUGGAUCUGAGACACGGUCCAGACUCCUACGGGAGGCAGCAGUAGGGAAUCUUCCGCAAUGGGCGAAAGCCUGACGGAGCAACGCCGCGUGAGUGAUGAAGGUCUUCGGAUCGUAAAACUCUGUUAUUAGGGAAGAACAUAUGUGUAAGUAACUGUGCACAUCUUGACGGUACUUAAUCAGAAAGCCACGGCUAACUACGUG